This 253-nucleotide ribosomal RNA is filed under the name uncultured bacterium. Its description in RNAcentral is "partial 16S ribosomal RNA". It matches the Rfam family "Archaeal small subunit ribosomal RNA", at positions 474 to 727 of the family's 1478-position model. The record is from RNAcentral.
UACCAGCACCCCGAGUGGUCGGGACGUUUAUUGGGCCUAAAGCAUCCGUAGCCGGUUCUACAAGUCUUCCGUUAAAUCCAACUGCUUAACAGGUGGGCUGCGGAAGAUACUAUAGAGCUAGGAGGCGGGAGAGGCAAGCGGUACUCGAUGGGUAGGGGUAAAAUCCGUUGAUCCAUUGAAGGUCACCAGUGGCGAAGGCGGCUUGCCAGAACGCGCUCGACGGUGAGGGAUGAAAGCUGGGGGAGCAAACCGG